Molecule: ribosomal RNA, 460 nt
Filed under: uncultured bacterium
Lineage: Bacteria
Description: partial 16S ribosomal RNA
Rfam family: Bacterial small subunit ribosomal RNA
Source: RNAcentral
CCUACGGGAGGCAGCAGUGAGGAAUAUUGGUCAAUGGGCGGAAGCCUGAACCAGCCAAGUAGCGUGCAGGAUGACGGCCCUACGGGUUGUAAACUGCUUUUAUACGGGAAUAACGCGCCUUACGUGUAGGGCUUUGCAUGUACCGUAUGAAUAAGGACCGGCUAAUUCCGUGCCAGCAGCCGCGGUAAUACGGAAGGUCCGGGCGUUCUCCGGAUUUAUUGGGUUUAAAGGGAGCGUAGGCCGCAUGUCAAGCGUGCUGUGAAAUGUCCGGGCUCAACCCGGGCCUUGCAGCGCGAACUGGCGUGCUUGAGUCCGCGGAAAGCAGGCGGAAUUCGUCGUGUAGCGGUGGAAUGCUUAGAUAUGACGAAGAACCCCGAUUGCGAAGGCAGCUUGCUGCAGCGGAACUGACGCUGAUGCUCGAAAGCGCGGGUAUCGAACAGGAUUAGAUACCCUAGUAGUC